GAUGAACGCUGGCGGCGUGCCUAAUACAUGCAAGUCGAGCGAACAGACGAGGAGCUUGCUCCUCUGACGUUAGCGGCGGACGGGUGAGUAACACGUGGAUAACCUACCUAUAAGACUGGGAUAACUUCGGGAAACCGGAGCUAAUACCGGAUAACAUGUUGAACCGCAUGGUUCAACAGUGAAAGACGGUCUUGCUGUCACUUAUAGAUGGAUCCGCGCCGCAUUAGCUAGUUGGUAAGGUAACGGCUUACCAAGGCAACGAUGCGUAGCCGACCUGAGAGGGUGAUCGGCCACACUGGAACUGAGACACGGUCCAGACUCCUACGGGAGGCAGCAGUAGGGAAUCUUCCGCAAUGGGCGAAAGCCUGACAGAGCAACGCCGCGUGAGUGAUGAAGGUCUUCGGAUCGUAAAACUCUGUUAUUAGGGAAGAACAAAUGUGUAAGUAACUAUGCACGUCUUGACGGUACCUAAUCAGAAAGCCACGGCUAACUACGUG
Molecule: ribosomal RNA, 497 nt
Filed under: uncultured bacterium
Lineage: Bacteria
Description: partial 16S ribosomal RNA
Rfam family: Bacterial small subunit ribosomal RNA
Source: RNAcentral